UACAUCGCUGGGCGCAGCCUGAUCCAGCAAUGCCGCGUGAGUGAAGAAGGCCUUCGGGUUGUAAAGCUCUUUUGUCAGGGAAGAAACGGCUCCAGCUAAUAUCUGGGGCUAAUGACGGUACCUGAAGAAUAAGCACCGGCUAACUACGUGCCAGCAGCCGCGGUAAUACGUAGGGUGCAAGCGUUAAUCGGAAUUACUGGGCGUAAAGCGUGCGCAGGCGGUUUUGUAAGUCUGACGUGAAAGCCCCGGGCUCAACCUGGGAAUUGCGUUGGAGACUGCAAGGCUUGAAUCUGGCAGAGGGGGGUAGAAUUCCACGUGUAGCAGUGAAAUGCGUAGAGAUGUGGAGGAACACCGAUGGCGAAGGCAGCCCCCUGGGUCAAGAUUGACGCUCAUGCACGAAAGCGUGGGGAGCAAACAGGAUUAGAUACCCUGGUAGUCCACGCCCUAAACGAUGUCUACUAGUUGUCGGGUUUUAAUUAACUUGGUAACGCAGCUAACGCGUGAAGUAGACCGCCUGGGGAGUACGGUCGCAAGAUUAAAACUCAAUGAAAUUUGACGGA
Molecule: ribosomal RNA, 560 nt
Filed under: Massilia varians
Lineage: Bacteria; Pseudomonadati; Pseudomonadota; Betaproteobacteria; Burkholderiales; Oxalobacteraceae
Description: bacterial SSU rRNA
Rfam family: Bacterial small subunit ribosomal RNA
Source: RNAcentral